Molecule: small RNA, 1970 nt
Filed under: Rattus norvegicus (Norway rat)
Lineage: Eukaryota; Metazoa; Chordata; Mammalia; Rodentia; Muridae
Description: uncharacterized LOC103691976
Source: RNAcentral
UUUCUCACGUGGUGGUUGACCGUGGCCAUUCUUUGAAUUAAGGCUCCCAGUUUCCCACUUGUCACUAACACCCUUAAAAACAUAUUACAAUUUUUCGUUAUUGUUGUGUAUUGUUGUGUAUUACAAAAUUCACUUACAGAUCAGCAAGACAUUCUAACAGCAGAAUUGUGACUUUAAAAAAUUUUCCAUGAAGAGAGAAAAACAAUACGUGGUAUAUCUUACGAUGUAUAUGAGGCAUCAACAAAGACACUGUUGAGUGUUGAGUGCACAAGAGAAUCAAGUCUUCCUUUUCUCCCUGGGGCCAGGUAAACUUCCAGAAUCUUGCGGGCCCAGCUACAGUUCUCUGACGGCCAUUGGGCAUCUCUGGUUUCAUUCAUUUUGUGGUGCUGGCGUUCACCCUGAGCCUGCCCACCAUAGCAAGGCUUCAUCCGCACGCUGGUAGUAGCAUCUUCCCAGACAGCCCUCCUAUACCGAGAUGCUAACAGGACCUUAACCGUAAGUGCCAAUGACAGAGGACCACAUCAAUUCAUCAUAUUAACCCCCAUCCACACUCACCCCUGACUCACCCUUCCGUAAACCGGAUUUCAAGAUGCCAGGAGUCAUUCAAACUGCACCUAAUUCCAAAGGAAGGUUGAGCGGUGAUGGAGGAGGAGUUGGAGGCAACAUCGUAACCAAUUGGACAUAAAACAUUUCACUGUGCAGAUGUUGUCUAGGCAGGUAACCAUGACAACACACUGGCAGAAUCCCUCCAGAGCUGUUGUCUAACUCCGCAACCCCUCUACAGGCUCACAUAUUUGAACGUUGGAUUCUCAGCUGGUGAUGCUGUUUGGGGAGGCUGUGGAGGAGGUGUGGCCCAACUGGAGCACGUGGGUCCCUUAACCUCACUUCCGCCCUUUCUCUGUUUUCAGAUCUGAGCUGUAAGCAGCAGUCACCUCAUGCUCCCUCCCACGCAUUGCCUUCUCUGCCACGAUGGACUGUGCCCUCUCAAACCAAGAGCCAGAAUAAAUCUUUGCAGCCCUAAGCGGCUUCCCGUCAGGUGCCCGAUAACAGCAGCUUCUGAGGCAUGGGUGACCUCAGGAUGGACACUGAAAAUGGGAGCUCAAUCCUCUGACGAUGCAGGGACAGUGAUGUCUGAGCUGUAUCCAGGGGGGCUGCUGAAUUAAGCAACUCUGUUACAAAUUGUCACCUAAGUGAGUUUGGGGAACAUUUGUCUGCCCUGCAUUCAUCCUGACAACAGCUUGAGUCCAAAACCAUUGGAAAAAUCGUUCACUCACGGGAGAAUCGUCAGUGAACCUUUAUACAAAUGUGUCUUUGGAGCUAUGGGAAAAACACUGAAACUAUGGAGUAAGAUCUGAGGGAGGAAAGCAUGAACGUGGAGUCGGCCGGGAAUGGCGUCUGGUGGUUCUUCUUCCUGCACACUGGUCCGUCAUGCAUCGGAACCGCCUGUGCAGUUCUUGCAUGAGCAGCUCUCCAGCCUGGACUGAUGGUGAUGGGCCAGAGAGAACAACAAGGAAGCCAGGGGACGACCUUGAACUGAACGGUACCAGGUCAGGUCAGAGACAGCCAGACACUACCCGGACAGCGGCAACAUUGUUGCCCCACAAUAUUGUCUGUCUCCAAAGAUGCUUUUCAGACAAAUUCAGGAGGUGCUGAAAAUCAAUAAAUUCCUAGACUUGAGCCUUCCAUGUGGUGAUACCCCCUCGCAGGGCUCCAGGAUACCUUAUGAAGACUUGUGGGCUACUCCAACCUUCUCUUUACCCAGAGUACUUGCGAAGCAUAGAUGCUGUGUGGACCCAUCCUCUGAGCGCGGGAACCAUCUCUCUGUUUGUCAACUGCCAGCGUUGACAUUCUCUCUCACUUCCCACGGUCUGGCACCAGAGAGGGGAUCUGGAGCCAACUUGAUUCCUCCUCUAAAGAGACAGCUUUGCAGUCUGCACUGUGUUUGUAAGGGAACUAAUAAAAUGUGCAAA